Molecule: long non-coding RNA, 947 nt
Filed under: Salvia miltiorrhiza (redroot sage)
Lineage: Eukaryota; Viridiplantae; Streptophyta; Magnoliopsida; Lamiales; Lamiaceae
Description: long non-coding RNA (SMIL_LNC009604)
Source: RNAcentral
CAUAACACACCAACACACACAAGCUUCUCUCUCUCUCUAAUUCACCACACGCACACACACACACUUUAUUAUUUAUCUCUCUCUCUCUUAUCAGUCACCACCAAACACUCACACCCACUAUCUCUUUUAAUCAUCAAAUCUCUCUAUCUUUAUUAAAGUAUAACAUUUCCUCUUUCUCUCCCACUAUCGGUUCCCUCUCCCUCUUUAUAUUCAAUCACCACAUGCACACACACCUUUUAAAAUAUAUCUCUCUCUCUCUUCUUCACAAGAAAACUCAUGCUGCUCACAUCUCUUCCUCUCGUUCAAUUAGUAAAACUGAAGCUUCAACAUCAUCUCUCUCUUUUUCGAUCAACUCACGGCUGGAGUUGCCGCCGCGUUCUGAAAAUCCGGCGAGGUUCGCCGCGUGGAGCUGCUGCCGCUGACUGCUGCUGUUCUGCUCUGGGCCGCGACCAGCGGCGCUUGGCCUUCGGCCGCGCCGCCCCGCUCCGCCUGAAGUCGCCGAGUCAGCCGUCGCCGACUGCUGCUGUCGCCGAGGAGUCCGCCGCUGCUGUUUCUCCUGUUGCAGAGCUCCGACAAUCCACCAUCCUUUCUCUCUCGUUUUAUCACUCACGAUAGGUUCGUAAAUUUGAAUUAAAAACUGAAACUCCUCUUUCCCUUUCUUGGCAGAUCGGAGACAACCGCGGCUCCGUCGCCGUCCGUCAACCGCCGGCGACGACGAGCCACCGAGGCUGCCCUCCCCCUGACCUCGACUCACACACGCAAACAGCCAACACAAAGGGUUUUUGUGCGAGAAUCAUAUACUGUAAAUCUAUGAAUUUGCUACUCAUUUUCUUCAUUUAUCAAAGCAUAUGUAAAUCUGAGUUAAUGAGCAUGUGUUGGUAUUCUGGAGUUGAUGUAUACAAUUGAAGGAUAUUAUAAUAUAUAAAUUAGAAAUAUAAACCUUGAAU